RNAcentral lists this transfer RNA (70 nucleotides) under Camelus bactrianus (Bactrian camel). It matches the Rfam family "tRNA". Rfam says of the family: Transfer RNA (tRNA) molecules are approximately 80 nucleotides in length. Their secondary structure includes four short double-helical elements and three loops (D, anti-codon, and T loops). Further hydrogen bonds mediate the characteristic L-shaped molecular structure. tRNAs have two regions of fundamental functional importance: the anti-codon, which is responsible for specific mRNA codon recognition, and the 3' end, to which the tRNAs corresponding amino acid is attached (by aminoacyl-tRNA synthetases). tRNAs cope with the degeneracy of the genetic code in two manners: having more than one tRNA (with a specific anti-codon) for a particular amino acid; and 'wobble' base-pairing, i.e. permitting non-standard base-pairing at the 3rd anti-codon position. RNAcentral also lists the same sequence under 2 other names. Lineage: Eukaryota; Metazoa; Chordata; Mammalia; Artiodactyla; Camelidae. The record is from Rfam by way of RNAcentral.
GAGGGUAUAGCUCAGUGGUAGAGUGCCCUAGCAUGCACGAGGGUCCUGGGUUCAAUCCCCAGUACCUCCA